This 544-nucleotide long non-coding RNA is filed under the name Solanum tuberosum (potato). RNAcentral's name for it is "long non-coding RNA (STUB_LNC002972)". The record is from RNAcentral. Lineage: Eukaryota; Viridiplantae; Streptophyta; Magnoliopsida; Solanales; Solanaceae.
UGAACAGUAUGUUUGAUAGAUUAUUUUAGUAAUUAACAAGCACGAGCUGAUUCGAAGAAAAUAAAUAUAAUCAAAUGUCUCACAUGCCAAGCAGCUGUGGAAAUUCAAGUGAAAUUUGGAAAUGAAAAUUUUGAUAGAAUUAAAAAAUAACUUUUGAAGAGAUCGUUAAUGCUCCAAUCCAAUUUGUUUGAGCUGUGUUGACUAUCUCAGAGCUCAAGAGAAUGAUUCCAAUUAUUUAUGAUAAUAUUAAAUAGUAGGAAGACUUGAAAUGGGUAUAAAGAUAUCACAUUGUAUUUGAAAUAAUACAGGGUACUACAGGGCAUAAAUUUUAGCUUGGAAGCAGGUCAAACAAAGUGGGAAGUAAAGAGUAAUAUCAAAUGAUGUUUAUUAACUUCCAGUAUUGACUGACGGAAAAAGCAACUAGUGUUGCAUCAUCUCUAUAUGGUUUUCUCCUUUUUCUUUACUAAAUGCAUCCUAUUUGAUAUUCCUAGGGUCAGCUUAAAGUGAUAUGCAGGACAUUACAAUACUAGGUCAGCAGAUAACC